RNAcentral lists this transfer RNA (84 nucleotides) under Pueraria alopecuroides. RNAcentral's name for it is "tRNA-Tyr". The record is from RNAcentral. Lineage: Eukaryota; Viridiplantae; Streptophyta; Magnoliopsida; Fabales; Fabaceae.
CUUGUGAAUCUAUAUCCUUCUUACCCAACCCAAUUUCCAGAUUAAUUCUCGUUUUUUUAUUUCUUAGAUAUAAAUAUACCUAUC